This 525-nucleotide long non-coding RNA is filed under the name Capsicum annuum. RNAcentral's name for it is "long non-coding RNA (CANN_LNC011280)". The record is from RNAcentral. Lineage: Eukaryota; Viridiplantae; Streptophyta; Magnoliopsida; Solanales; Solanaceae.
GAGCCUCCACAUUCCCCUUGCUGUAGAGAUGAAUUGAUGUCAAAAUCUUGUGAACUCCAUUGCAACUCGUAGCUCAACCAUUCAGAUCUUCUCAAAUAUAAGUAUCUUCUUCUUGUUGUAAGAGUUUGUCAUCAUCUUAAAAAUCUGAAAUUCGAUACUUACUUUUCCUCUGAUUUGGUUAUAAGGCAUGCUCCCCUCUCUUUUGAUCAAGAAAUCGGAUAUCUUUGACUGAAUGUAUCAUAAUAAUUUAAGUAAAUUUUGUAUCGAUUGCACUUCCACUCACCUAAAUCUCUCACCAGAUGCUAUGUAAUCGAUUCCGUUGGAAUAGAACUCCAAGUACUUAACUUUAUUUUAAUUCAUGUUAGAUAAAGCUCUGAUUUUCUCUCAAAAUGAAAAUUACUAGUAUGCAGAUUUACUUAUCCCUUUCCAAAGGAAUGGACCUCUUAGAGAUUAAUACCACUUUUACAUUAGUUUAAGCAAAUCUACAAGACCUAGUAAUAUUUCAAUUACUUUAUUAGUCUGUAC